CAACCUGCCCGGAAGUGGGGGACAACAGCCCGAAAGGGCUGCUAAUACCGCAUGUGGUCACGGUCUCGCAUGGGACUGUGUCUAAAGCUUUAUGCGCUUCUGGAUGGGCUUGCGGCCUAUCAGCUAGUUGGUGGGGUAAUGGCUUACCAAGGCGAUGACGGGUAGCUGGUCUGAGAGGAUGGCCAGCCACAUUGGGACUGAGAGACGGCCCAG
RNAcentral lists this ribosomal RNA (213 nucleotides) under uncultured bacterium. RNAcentral describes it as "partial 16S ribosomal RNA". It matches the Rfam family "Bacterial small subunit ribosomal RNA", at positions 122 to 334 of the family's 1533-position model. The record is from RNAcentral.